UACGAUAGACACAGGGAUUGCCUUAGUAACGGCGAGUGAAGCGGCAACAGCUCAAAUUUGAAAUCCGGCUCCUUCGGGGCCCGAGUUGUAAUUUGGAGAGGAUGCUUCGGCUGCGACCCCGGUCUAAGUUCCUUGGAACAGGACGUCACAGAGGGUGAGAACCCCGUAUGUGGCCAGGUGUCAACGCCAUGUGAAGCUCCUUCGACGAGUCGAGUUGUUUGGGAAUGCAGCUCUAAAUGGGAGGUAUAUUUCUUCUAAGGCUAAAUACCGGCGAGAGACCGAUAGCGCACAAGUAGAGUGAUCGAAAGAUGAAAAGCACUUUGGAAAGAGAGUUAAAAAGUACGUGAAAUUGUUGAAAGGGAAGCGCUUGCAACCAGAUUUGGACGUAGUUGCUCAGCCGGGCCUCAUGGCCGGCGCACUCUUCUACGUCCAGGCCAGCAUCGGUUCGGGCGGCCAGAUAAAGGCCGUGGGAAUGUAGCUCCCCCCGGGGAGUGUUAUAGCCCACGGUGGAAUGUGGCCAGCCCGGACCGAGGUCCGCGCUUCGGCUAGGAUGCUGGCGUAAUGGUUGUAAGCGGCCCGUCUUGAAACACGGACCAAGGAGUCUAACAUCUAUGCGAGUGUUUGGGUGCGAAACCCAUGCGCGUAAUGAAAGUGAACGGAGGUGGGAGCCCUUACGGGCGCACCAUCGACCGAUCCUGAUGUCUUCGGAUGGAUUUGAGUAAGAGCAUAGCUGUUGGGACCCGAAAGAUGGUGAACUAUUCCUGAAUAGGGUGAAGCCAGAGGAAACUCUGGUGGAGGCUCGCAGCGGUUCUGACGUGCAAAUCGAUCGUCAAAUUUGGGUAUAGGGGCGAAAGACUAAUCGAACCAUUUAGUAGCUGGUUCCUGCCGAAGUUUCCUCAGGAUAGCAGUAACGAUUUCAGUUUUAUGAGGUAAAGCGAAUGAUAAAAAGCCUGGGGGGUGGAACAACCUUCCCCUAUUUUCAACUUUAAUAUUGUAGAAGGCCUUGUUAUUAA
RNAcentral lists this ribosomal RNA (1013 nucleotides) under Acrogenospora aquatica. RNAcentral's name for it is "partial large subunit ribosomal RNA". It matches the Rfam family "Eukaryotic large subunit ribosomal RNA", at positions 56 to 1093 of the family's 3401-position model. Lineage: Eukaryota; Fungi; Ascomycota; Dothideomycetes; Minutisphaerales; Acrogenosporaceae. The record is from RNAcentral.